This 486-nucleotide ribosomal RNA is filed under the name uncultured bacterium. RNAcentral's name for it is "partial 16S ribosomal RNA". It matches the Rfam family "Bacterial small subunit ribosomal RNA", at positions 30 to 507 of the family's 1533-position model. The record is from RNAcentral.
AUUGAACGCUGGCGGCAUGCCUUACACAUGCAAGUCGAACGGCAGCACGGGUGCUUGCACCUGGUGCCGAUUGGCGAACGGGUGAGUAAUACAUCGGAACAUGUCCUGUAGUGGGGGAUAGCCCGGCGAAAGCCGGAUUAAUACCGCAUACGAUCUACGGAUGAAAGCGGGGGACCUUCGGGCCUCGCGCUAUAGGGUUGGCCGAUGGCUGAUUAGCUAGGUGGUGGGGUAAAGGCCUACCAAGGCGACGAUCAGUAGCUGGUCUGAGAGCACGACCAGCCAGCUGGGGAGUGAGGCAGGGCCGAGACUCUUACGGGGAGCCGCAGUGGGGAAUUUUGGACAAUGGGGGAGUGCCUGAUCCAGCAAUGCCGCGUGUGUGAAGAAGGACUUCGGGUUGUAAAGCACUUUUGUCCGGAAAGAAAUCCUUGGCUCUAAUACAGUCGGGGGAUGACGGUACCGGAAGAAUAAGCACCGGCUAACUACGUG